RNAcentral lists this ribosomal RNA (557 nucleotides) under Dendropsophus tritaeniatus (three-banded treefrog). RNAcentral describes it as "partial large subunit ribosomal RNA". It matches the Rfam family "Bacterial large subunit ribosomal RNA", at positions 1834 to 2589 of the family's 2925-position model. The record is from RNAcentral. Lineage: Eukaryota; Metazoa; Chordata; Amphibia; Anura; Hylidae.
CCUCUCGACUUAUAUGAGAGGUCCAGCCUGCCCAGUGACUAAAUUCAACGGCCGCGGUAUCCUAACCGUGCGAAGGUAGCGUAAUCACUUGUUCUUUAAAUGAGGACUAGUAUGAAUGGCCCCACGAGGGUUACACUGUCUCCUUUUUUUAAUCAAUGAAACUGAUCUCCCCGUGAAGAAGCGGGGAUACUUAUAUAAGACGAGAAGACCCUAUGGAGCUUUAAACAUCUAUAGCACUGGCCCACACUUCAUGUCCUUCUGAGAUUUAACCAUUAUAUAGGCCAGCAUAACUAUUAGUUUUAGGUUGGGGUGACCGCGGAGCAAAAAUUAACCUCCACGUUGAACGGAACUUAUCCUGAGCUAAAAGCUACGACUUUAAGCACCAACAAACUGACAUCAAUUGACCCAACAUGUUGAUCAACGAACCAAGUUACCCUAGGGAUAACAGCGCAAUCCAUUUCAAGAGCCCCUAUCGACAAAUGGGUUUACGACCUCGAUGUUGGAUCAGGGUAUCCCAGUGGUGCAGCCGCUACUAAAGGUUCGUUUGUUCAACGAUU